Molecule: long non-coding RNA, 1176 nt
Filed under: Apteryx haastii (Great spotted kiwi)
Lineage: Eukaryota; Metazoa; Chordata; Aves; Apterygiformes; Apterygidae
Description: lncRNA (ENSAHAG00000007806.1)
Source: RNAcentral
CCUGGCGACACGACUCGUCAAGAACAGCACAUCUCCUGCAGAAAAGCUGGCUGUCGGCCCCAGCCUCAUGGAGAGGCUGCAGGUGAGGGCCGGGUGCCRGCAGCACCUGCACCUGCACCCAGCUCCCCAGGGUGGGACCUCGCACGGGGAGCGGAAGGCAGCGAGCCCCCGGGGGGGGACGAGGUCUGGCCCCACGAGAAGGCGCCUCUGGAGACGGCCCCAGCAGGUAACCCGGGAGCGAGGAGCCGGAGCCCAGCAGGGGAGAAACCCCCCGGCAGAGCCCAGCCYGCAGGAGCAACGAUUCCACCCAGCCCCAGAAAGCGAAGGCAGCCGAGGGUCCCCCUCGGCAUCGCCCGCACCCCCCGGGCUGCCCCUCGCUCACCUCCGGACACCGGCAGCCACUCAAACCCUUUAUUCCAAACUUUGUUUCUAUUGCACUUGCGACCCUUGGUCCCCCCACCGCCGUGCCGCACGCAGAGGCUUGACGCCGGGGUGAGGGGCUGCAGCAGAAGCACCCUGCAGGGAAGGGGCGCAGGGUCCCCUCCGUGCACCGAGCCCAUCCCGGUGCAACACCGGGCUGCCCAUCACGGCGGGACAGGCGCAGCUGGAUGCUGGCACGGUGGAGCCAGGAGAGCCCCGGCGCGCACAGUGAGCCUGCAGACGGCCGGCCCUGGCUCAGRCCGGCGGCUUGACGCGCUGGCAGGUGAUGAGGUACUGCGGGUAGGCCUGGGUGUCGUUGAAGAUGACGAAGAUGCCCGGCUUCCUGGGGUUGUCCACGACGCUGUCGUACCGCAGCGGCGCCUCGGACGCCUCCUUGAGCGGCGGCGCCCGCAUGUCCUUCCUGCCGGCCGCGUAGUCGCCGGUCAGGGUCUUGGCCAUGAAGAUGUACUUGCUGCCAUCGGCGCUGCAGGGCGAGUACUUGUCCUGCACCGACAGCACGGCGUUCACCGCGAAGUACACGCCGAGCCCGUAGAGAGUGGCUGCGGGGCGGGAGGCCGGGAGCAGGUCAGCCGGAGGCGCCGGCACCAAACCUCUCCGUGGGGCGGGAGCGGAGCCAAAAGGGCCGGGGGAUGCUGGAGCGGAGCGGCGCUUCCUCCAGGCUCUUCCCCUGCGGGGACCGAGGGCCCGGGGCCCGUCGCCGGCACUCACCGUUCUUGCCGCAGAAGCUGCGGUUGA